UGAACGCUGGCGGCAUGCCUUACGCAUGCAAGUCGAACGGCAGCACGGAGCUUGCUCUGGUGGCGAGUGGCGAACGGGUGAGCAAUAUAUCGGAACGUACCCAAGAGUGGGGGAUAACGUAGCGAAAGUUACGCUAAUACCGCAUACGAUCUAUGGAUGAAAGCAGGGGACCGCAAGGCCUUGUGCUCCUGGAGCGGCCGAUAUCUGAUUAGCUAGUUGGUGGGGUAAAGGCCCACCAAGGCAACGAUCAGUAGCUGGUCUGAGAGGACGACCAGCCACACUGGAACUGAGACACGGUCCAGACUCCUACGGGAGGCAGCAGUGGGGAAUUUUGGACAAUGGGGGCAACCCUGAUCCAGCAAUGCCGCGUGAGUGAAGAAGGCCCUCGGGUUGUAAAGCUCUUUUGUCAGGGAAGAAAAGGUUGCGGCUAAUAUCCGCGGCUCAUGUCGGUACCUGAAGAAUAAGCACCGGCUAACUACGUGCCAGCAGCCGCGGUAAUACGUAGGGUGCAAGCGUUAAUCGGAAUUACUGGGCGUAAAGCGUGCGCAGGCGGUUUUGUAAGACUGUCGUGAAAUCCCCGGGCUCAACCUGGGAAUGGCGAUGGUGACUGCAAGGCUAGAGUUUGGCAGAGGGGGGUAGAAUUCCGCGUGUAGCAGUGAAAUGCGUAGAUAUGUGGAGGAACACCGAUGGCGAAGGCAGCCCCCUGGGUCAAAACUGACGCUCAUGCACGAAAGCGUGGGGAGCAAACAGGAUUAGAUACCCUGGUAGUCCACGCCCUAAACGAUGUCUACUAGUUGUCGGGUCUUAAUUGACUUGGUAACGCAGCUAACGCGUGAAGUAGACCGCCUGGGGAGUACGGUCGCAAGAUUA
This 870-nucleotide ribosomal RNA is filed under the name uncultured bacterium. RNAcentral's name for it is "bacterial SSU rRNA". It matches the Rfam family "Bacterial small subunit ribosomal RNA", at positions 30 to 896 of the family's 1533-position model. The record is from RNAcentral.